Molecule: ribosomal RNA, 18 nt
Filed under: Scolecobasidium minimum
Lineage: Eukaryota; Fungi; Ascomycota; Dothideomycetes; Venturiales; Sympoventuriaceae
Description: Ochroconis minima partial 26S ribosomal RNA
Source: RNAcentral
GUCUCAAAAAGUUUGGCC